RNAcentral lists this ribosomal RNA (253 nucleotides) under uncultured bacterium. Its description in RNAcentral is "partial 16S ribosomal RNA". It matches the Rfam family "Archaeal small subunit ribosomal RNA", at positions 474 to 727 of the family's 1478-position model. The record is from RNAcentral.
UACCAGCACCCCGAGUGGUCGGGACGAUUAUUGGGCCUAAAGCAUCCGUAGCCGGUCAUGCAAGUCUUCCGUUAAAUCCACCUGCUUAACAGAUGGGCUGCGGAGGAUACUAUAGAGCUAGGAGGCGGGAGAGGCAAGUGGUACUUAGUGGGUAGGGGUAAAAUCCGUUGAUCCAUUGAAGACCACCAGUGGCGAAGGCGGCUUGCCAGAACGCACUCGACGGUGAGGGAUGAAAGCUGGGGGAGCAAACCGG